UUUGUUUUUUUUUUUUUUAAUCUUUCAUUUGUUUUUAGGGUUUUUUGCAAUUUCCCAAUCUAAAAAACUUUUCAUAUGAAAAUUUGUUGUCCCAGGUUCGAGCAGGUUCUACCCUCAAAUUUUAUGGUCAUUUUGGGGUUAACGUAAGUUCAAUCAGGCCUUCAAGUCAAAAAUUGCCACCUGUAAUACUUGAUAACUUAGAAUCAAAGAAGUAAAGAUUGAUACAACUCUCUUAAUCAUUUAGAAAAACAGAAGAUUUUGGGUGGAACCUUCGCCCAAAUGUGGGGUAAGUGUUGGGAGCUAGUUGCCAUGGCACAGGAAAAGAGACUUGGUUUCCAAUCAAUUAUACUGCCACAGAAUUCUACGCAUAGAAAAGUCAUAGUUGAUAAAAUCUUCAUGUUACAAUAUAUUUUAGUAACAAAGUAACAAACAAGUCCACUAAGGGACAACCCAACAAUAAAGGAUGUGAUCUCCACUAGAAGUUUCAAGUUAGAAUUCCCCUAAGUG
RNAcentral lists this unclassified non-coding RNA (507 nucleotides) under Hevea brasiliensis (rubber tree). Lineage: Eukaryota; Viridiplantae; Streptophyta; Magnoliopsida; Malpighiales; Euphorbiaceae. The record is from RNAcentral.